Molecule: ribosomal RNA, 402 nt
Filed under: uncultured bacterium
Lineage: Bacteria
Also listed under: 1 other name
Description: bacterial SSU rRNA
Rfam family: Bacterial small subunit ribosomal RNA
Source: RNAcentral
UGGGGAAUAUUGCGCAAUGGGCGAAAGCCUGACGCAGCAACGCCGCGUGCGGGAUGACGGCCUUCGGGUUGUAAACCGCUUUCAGCAGGGACGAAACUGACGGUACCUGCAGAAGAAGCACCGGCUAACUACGUGCCAGCAGCCGCGGUGAUACGUAGGGUGCGAGCGUUGUCCGGAAUUAUUGGGCGUAAAGAGCUCGUAGGCGGUCUGUCGCGUCGGAAGUGAAAACUCGGGGCUUAACCCCGAGCCUGCUUUCGAUACGGGCAGACUUGAGGAAUGUAGGGGAGAACGGAAUUCCUGGUGGAGCGGUGGAAUGCGCAGAUAUCAGGAGGAACACCAGUGGCGAAGGCGGUUCUCUGGACAUUAACUGACGCUGAGGAGCGAAAGCGUGGGGAGCAAACA